CACGCCGUAAACGAUGAAUACUAGGUGUCGGGCGUCAAAACUCGGUGCCGCAGCUAACGCAUUAAGUAUUCCGCCUGGGGAGUACGCACGCAAGUGUGAAACUCAAAGGAAUUGACGGGG
Molecule: ribosomal RNA, 120 nt
Filed under: uncultured bacterium
Lineage: Bacteria
Description: partial 16S ribosomal RNA
Rfam family: Bacterial small subunit ribosomal RNA
Source: RNAcentral